Molecule: long non-coding RNA, 213 nt
Filed under: Musa acuminata (dwarf banana)
Lineage: Eukaryota; Viridiplantae; Streptophyta; Magnoliopsida; Zingiberales; Musaceae
Description: long non-coding RNA (MACU_LNC002620)
Source: RNAcentral
UAGUGCUUAAAGGUACCUCACCCUCUUUUUUUUUGCACCCACGCUCUAUCUCUCUCUUGACAUAGGUUGGUGUGAAUAGAACGCAAUCUAUUUAUAUUUAUAGACCUAACCACAAAGCUAUAAUUCUAAUGAAAUAAGGACUCAUACUUCAACUCAAACUCUUAAUUUAUCUCAAACUUUUAAUUUAAUUCCAAUCAAAUUUAAAUUACAAUC